CUCCACUGCACACCAGGCCACCACUGCUACCCUGCCCCACGUCCACCACAUGUUCUACUUAUAGCACAGGACAGAACUGUCUUCCCAAGCCAUGUCUUCAUCAGUUGCUAUGGAGACUGGGUGAUUAUUAAGCCGUGGUAAACAAACAGACCCUGAAGUGUUCUCACCUGGGCUCACCCUGGCAACGUGAACUAGCACCCACAAUGGGGAUUGUUCCCUGAGUGUCUACCCUGCCUCAUAUCUACAAACUGGAUCGCUUUACUGAGUCUCCCUGGACAUGGCAUGCGGUUUCUGGUCAGUGGCCACGUGGGCUUCUCAGUGUCCAGUGGCAGGUGGUUCCUCUCGGCUCUUGGAGGUCUCUGGAACAGCCGUGACUCCAGAUCUUCAGUGGAGGUCACAUCGGAAUCUGGACCUGGGCACCCUCUCAUGGAGCAGCAUUUUUCUCUACCUGGGGUGGAAUGGAGGGCGGGCACCGGCUCCUGCUUACCAUGAUUUUGAAUGGCCACACAGCCACGGCCUCUCGUGGAGGGAGAAGCACACUGUAUUCUGGAAAUACCAGCAGACCUGCCCCAAAGCACCUUUCAGGGGGCUAGGCUGAAGGCCAUGUGCUCUACCCACUGAGGUACAGUCCAGUCCUGCAAGGCUGAGAAAGGACACCUUGAGGAAGGACAUCUGAUACCACGUUGGGAGACUCCUCUUUGGAGUCUGCUGCAUUUACAAGAGGACAAGAGGGCAGGGGUCAGACAUGCCUAAGAGCACAGGAGUUCUCAGCCACGUCCCUCUUGUGAAUGGUUCUUCUGAGGAAAAGAUGUGUCUGAGCUUGGGAAAGAGGACUUCUGUCUCACAUUUGAAGCU
Peromyscus eremicus (cactus mouse) is the source of this 855-nucleotide long non-coding RNA. RefSeq lists it as uncharacterized. The record is from RefSeq and is a predicted model, not a curated record. The transcript has 3 exons. NCBI's taxonomy places the organism in Eukaryota, Metazoa, Chordata, Mammalia, Rodentia, Cricetidae.